UAAUAAUUAUUAAUAUUAAUUAUAAAUAAUAAAAUAAUAAUAUCGAUUAUCUAAUGAAUAAUAAUAAUAAUACUAUUUAAUAAUUAUUAUUAAAUAAUAAUUAUUAAAAUUUAUUAAUAAAUAAUUAUAAAUAAUAAAUUAAUAAUAAUAUCGAUGAUCUAAUUAUCAAUAAUUAUUAAUUAAUAAUAAUACCGAUUAUCUAAUUAUUAAUAAAUAAUAGUUAUUAAUAAAUAAUAAUAAUUAUAAAAAAUUAUUAAUAAUUAAUUACAAUAAUAAAUUAAUAAUAAUAAU
Molecule: long non-coding RNA, 291 nt
Filed under: Ananas comosus (pineapple)
Lineage: Eukaryota; Viridiplantae; Streptophyta; Magnoliopsida; Poales; Bromeliaceae
Description: long non-coding RNA (ACOM_LNC041486)
Source: RNAcentral